Molecule: long non-coding RNA, 1037 nt
Organism: Homo sapiens (human)
Lineage: Eukaryota; Metazoa; Chordata; Mammalia; Primates; Hominidae
Product: MIR3976 host gene
Source: Ensembl
AAGAUUAUGACUUCUAUCUUGCUAGUAGACCCUCUCCAUUAACUCUCUCUCUUUCUGAUUGAGUGUAAGCUGCUAUAUGAAGGGAUCCACAAGACGAAUAAUUAAGGGGGACCUCUGAUCAACAGCCAGCAAGGAACUGAAUCCCUCAGACCCACAACUCACAAGAAACUGAAGCUGAAGCAGAUUCUUCCUCAGUCAAGCUUCAGGACCUGCUUUGCAGAAAGGAUCUCAUUGAGAAUAGCAAAAGGAAGUUGGGAACCAUUACAGUGCCCAGCUGUAUUGGUAGAGGAGACCAACCACACCCUCCACAGCACAGCACCUGGAGAGGAACUGCUGCCAUGACCAUAGAGGACACCCUCUGGAUACAAUGCCAGACUUGAUGUGGGACUGACCAACCUAUGGACCCCAGGCACCACCACCCAGACCUGCUCAGCACCUGAAACAUUCACAGCCGUGGAGAGAGAACUGUUCACUGCUACCAUCCACACUUCUGGGCCCCUUCAGCAGCAGGGUGACAAGGAAGAGGGAAAUCGACUUGGAAAAGAGGUUUAACAAAGCAUGGACAGCCCUGUAGAACUGUGAUUGGACAAAAAACGUACAAUCUAAUGCUAAUAGACUGAGUGAGGAAACCCAGCAAGGGCCUGUCUGUCUAGAUUCUUCUUGGCCUCCCUGGACACGCAUUUCUUCCUUCAAAGUAUGGGGCAGGACCCUCUCUGGAAUGGGGGUAUUAGGACCUACAGUCAAAUAAGGGGACCUCUGACCCAAGAGUUCGGUCAAUGCAUAUGUUGGCAGCCAGCUGCACAUCGCACCAAAUAUGAACUUCAAAUAGAAGAAAGCCUCAUUUGGAAGAAAGCUCAUGCACAGACUGUAAAUAUUUCAGAGCAGAUUGUGUCUCUGUAGAUUAAGUAAGUUGUGAAAGUCUGAACCUCUGCCAAAAUUUUAAGACCUUGACCUUUACAUCUCUGAGUUUCUAUCUGUCAUUUUUCCUUUCUAUCUGUCAUUUUACCUUUCAUACUUAUAAAAUGGAAUUCAUAAUC